ACACGACUACAUUAGAUACCCGGGUAGUCCAGGGUGUAAACGCUGCGGGCUUGGUGUUGGGGGGUCCUUUGAGGGCGCCCAGUGCCGGAGAGAAGUUGUUAAGCCUGCUGCUUGGGAGUACGUCCGCAAGGAUGAAACUUAGAGGAAUUGGCCGGGGGAGCACCGCAACGGGAGGAGCGUGCGGUUCAAUUGGAUUCAACGCCGGACAACUCACCAGGAGCGACGGUUACAUGAAGGCCAGGCUGAUGACCUUGCCUGAUUUUCCG
Molecule: ribosomal RNA, 266 nt
Filed under: uncultured archaeon
Lineage: Archaea
Description: partial 16S ribosomal RNA
Rfam family: Archaeal small subunit ribosomal RNA
Source: RNAcentral